This 253-nucleotide ribosomal RNA is filed under the name uncultured bacterium. RNAcentral describes it as "partial 16S ribosomal RNA". It matches the Rfam family "Bacterial small subunit ribosomal RNA", at positions 524 to 776 of the family's 1533-position model. The record is from RNAcentral.
UCCGUAGGGUGCGAGCGUUAAUCGGAAUUACUGGGCGUAAAGCGUGCGCAGGCGGUUUUGUAAGCCAGAUGUGAAAUCCCCGGGCUCAACCUGGGAAUGGCAUUUGGGACUGCAAGGCUGGAGUAUGGCAGAGGGGACUGGAAUUCCUGGUGUAGCAGUGAAAUGCGUAGAUAUCAGGAGGAAUACCGAUGGCGAAGGCAGGUCCCUGGGCUGAUACUGACGCUCAUGCACGAAAGCGUGGGGAGCAAACAGG